RNAcentral lists this ribosomal RNA (301 nucleotides) under uncultured bacterium. RNAcentral's name for it is "partial 16S ribosomal RNA". It matches the Rfam family "Bacterial small subunit ribosomal RNA", at positions 509 to 807 of the family's 1533-position model. The record is from RNAcentral.
CAGUCGCCGCGGGAAUACAGAGGGUGCGAGCGUUAAUCGGAUUUACUGGGCGUAAAGCGUGCGUAGGCGGCUUCUUAAUUCGGAUGUGAAAUCCCUGAGCUUAACUUAGGAAUUGCAUUCGAUACUGGGAAGCUAGAGUAUGGGAGAGGAUGGUAGAAUUCCAGGUGUAGCGGUGAAAUGCGUAGAGAUCUGGAGGAAUACCGAUGGCGAAGGCAGCCAUCUGGCCUAAUACUGACGCUGAGGUACGAAAGCAUGGGGAGCAAACAGGAUUAGAUACCCGUGUAGUCCCUGUCUCUUAUAC